Molecule: RNA transcript, 1897 nt
Organism: Brassica napus (rape)
Lineage: Eukaryota; Viridiplantae; Streptophyta; Magnoliopsida; Brassicales; Brassicaceae
Gene name: zinc finger BED domain-containing protein DAYSLEEPER-like
Exons: 5
Source: RefSeq, a predicted model, not a curated record
CUAUGAAGCUUAAGUUCGACAAAUACUGGGAUGAGUACAGCGACAUCCUUGCAAUUGCUGCAGUCUUGGAUCCAAGACUGAAAUUUGAGAUUUUAGAAUAUUGUUUCUCGGUUUUGGAUCAGUCUACUUGUAAGAGAAGGUUGGCUAAUGUUCGUUCAAAGAUCUAUAAGUUGUUUGGAGCUUACAAGAAAAGCCAGAGAAACAAUAGUGCUGCAACAACUUCACAAGGAGAAACACACGAUGUUCUAGCCGGUUAUGGGGGAUUCUACGCCUUCUUUUCUCAGAAAGCUGUUGGCAGUGGCAAGUCUGCUCUCGACAUAUAUCUGGAUGAGCCAUUGCUUGACUACGCCGCUCACAAGAAACUAAAUGUGUUACAUUACUGGAGAGACAAUUCGGCUCGGUUCAGAGAGUUAGCAACAAUGGCACGAGAGGUUUUGAGUAUACCCAUAACAACUGUGGCUUCAGAAUCUUCAUUUAGCAUAGGUAGUAGAGUGCUCAACAAGUAUAGGAGUUGUCUUCUACCCACUAAUGUCCAAGCCUUGGUCUGUACUAGAAACUGGUUAAAAGGGUUUCCAGCAAUGGGUGAUGAGAAGACAGAAGAGGAGAAAGAGGAAAAAGAGAAAGAGAAGGAAAAAGAGGAAGAGAGCGGAGAAUCCACAGACUUGACUAGAGAGAGUGGAGAGAAGGCAUAGCGGAAUAACAACUGAGAUGAUGGAUGGGAGUUACAACAACCGUUAGAGAUAUUCAGGCUGAGGACAAGUAGAGAAGCUGGAAGCUGAGAAGAAGUGAAUCAAUAAAUCAGAGAGUUAUAUUUUUUAUUUUACAUAAAAGUAUAAAACAGAGCUAUCAAAACCUUAAAAUUGUAUCCACAUUCGAGAGAUAAUUUGUAUUCAGAUUUUGAGAGAUAAUGAGUUCAAAACCUUAAAAUUGUAUCCACAUUUUUUUACAUCAAAUUUGUAUUAGAGGUGAACAAGUACAAAUUAAACAAUCAGCAGAUUUGAGAGAUAAUUUUUUUACAUUAAAUUGGGCUUAAACAGAGUUGCUAAUCAUGGGAAAGCUUGGGUUGGCCAUAUGGGUGUUGGGUUAAGUUGGGUGUGAGCUAGAGAGGGUGUGGGUUAGAUGUGGGUAUGGGUGUCUUGAGACCAGGAAAAACAAAUACCCAUUGGGCACCCCUGCUAACAUGGAGUUAGAAAAGCUAGAACAAGCCUACUAUAUUACUUAUCAUUAUGGGCUUAUAAUAGAAUACGUACAACCUAAAAGCCCAUACUUAAUUUGUACGGCCAUAUGUCGGCUUAUGAAUUAGGGUUUAGGAAGGUUAAUCUCUUCAUCACCUCAUAUAUAUAUACAUUCCUCAUCUUCUCUCUUCUUUUGUAUCAAAUCAAAACCUUCCUCUACGGCGCUUGUUUUCAAAAUUUUCGAAGAUUUUCUUCUUUUUUCGUUUUCUUCAGUUUUAUGGCUUUAAUCUUUUUUGAAAACGUGUGUUUGCAAUUAUUUGAUCUACAUAUUCUUUUGAAUGGAUCUUGAGUUAGUCCAUAGUGAUGAUUUAUUUGUCUGUGUAAAGCUUAGGUGCCUUUGUAAUUUUGCACGUUCUUCGAUACAUCUUCGAAGAUAGAUCUAUCAAUCGCUUAAAUCGAAUUUUUGAAAAUAUGUUAAUUGAUGGGUGAUGGUGAGGGUGAUGAAAAAAAUCAUUCGGAUUCCCAAUGAAUAAAAAAUGUGAUUAUUUACCAGCUACUUUUGACUCACCAUCAUCAAUCAAUCAAUUUCUCUGUUUUUGAUUAUUAAAAUUUUAUGAUUUUUUUAAUUAUUUGUUGUAUAAUCAAAAUAUAUUGGGUAUGGCCAGUGAUGUAUCAAAAUAUUUGCUACUCUUGAUGAAGAAAUUCACUUGAUGAUUCUUUAA